AUUGAACGCUGGCGGCAUGCUUUACACAUGCAAGUCGAACGGUAACAGGCCUUCGGGUGCUGACGAGUGGCGAACGGGUGAGUAAUGCAUCGGAACGUACCCAGAGGUGGGGGAUAACGCAGCGAAAGCUGUGCUAAUACCGCAUGUGAUCUGAGGAUGAAAGCGGGGGACCGAGCAGCAAUGUUUGGCCUCGCGCCUUUGGAGCGGCCGAUGUCGGAUUAGCUAGUUGGUGGGGUAAAGGCCUACCAAGGCGACGAUCCGUAGCUGGUCUGAGAGGACGACCAGCCACACUGGGACUGAGACACGGCCCAGACUCCUACGGGAGGCAGCAGUGGGGAAUUUUUGGACAAUGGGCGCAAGCCUGAUCCAGCAAUGCCGCGUGCGGGAAGAAGGCCUUCGGGUUGUAAACCGCUUUUGGCAGGAACGAAACGGUGUCCGCUAAUACCGGGCGCUAAUGACGGUACCUGCAGAAUAAGCACCGGCUAACUACGUG
RNAcentral lists this ribosomal RNA (493 nucleotides) under uncultured bacterium. Its description in RNAcentral is "partial 16S ribosomal RNA". It matches the Rfam family "Bacterial small subunit ribosomal RNA", at positions 30 to 507 of the family's 1533-position model. The record is from RNAcentral.